Molecule: unclassified non-coding RNA, 5734 nt
Filed under: Leishmania donovani
Lineage: Eukaryota; Euglenozoa; Kinetoplastea; Trypanosomatida; Trypanosomatidae
Description: gene:LdHU3.05.0450(CDS-product:protein_kinase_put ative)
Source: RNAcentral
CACGCACAUACACGGAAAGCACUACAUAUAAAGGAAGAAGGGGCACAUCAGUACCGCCGUUCACCGGCCCCGUUAUCACCACUACGGCUAUACCUAGACAUAUAUAUAUAUACCCUGUCUCUCUCACUCUCCCUCUCGCUUCCUGCACACUGUCCACGAACAGUCACACACCCACACACAGAGAAGUACGUGGCUGGACUCUGCCGCGCAGUGUAAGAGGGAGCAAGGCCGGGACCUAAGUAACAGUACUCGGCCCCCUCCUCCUCCCAAAAGAAAAAGCACAAGGCAAGCGCAAAGACUUUCAUCUCGGUCAGCAAGCAAGCAAGCACGGCUCAUCACCGCAUUCAUCAACCGCGAGGGCGGCACAGUAGAGGUCGCCGCAGGUGGGGGACGCAGGCUUUCAGAAAAGGGCAUUGAGCUGUGCGCGUGCACACCUCUCCUUCCUUCCCUUCUUCCUUCGGCGCUACAUCUCAUUGCGUCCUCACCGACUCGCGAACGGGGCGCCAACAAACCCGCAACCCCGCGCGCGCUCGCACAGGCACACGGGCACGGAGAGAUACAAGCACACGUAUUAGGGGGAACGCAGCCACCAUACACACACACACCUUCUAUACUUCCUUUUCUUUCGUUGUGGCUCUCCUCUGUCCACCGUGCGCUAGGUUUGUGUGCACGUGUGCGUGUCGGUGCCCCCCCAUGCUUAUUCAGCUCUCUCGCAGGAGAGAGAAGCGGAUAGUUUGGCCUUUGAAGACAGGAAAAGAGAGGUUAGGGGAGCGGAGCGGGGCGGGGAGACGCACGUCGACCCAGAAGCAACAUACCGUGCUCCAGAGCCGCCCUUCUAUCUAGACUUCCUGGGUGUUGCUGGAAAGCUCUGCUGCUGCUGCUGCGAUUGCUACCCUGCCUCGUCAUCACGGACGUCCUUCAGUCCAUCACCUCUACCUACCUUCACUACUAUUAAAGCCAUUCUCACCUAUAGUUGCUGUGUCCGUUUCUCUCCCUCCCUGUGUGGGUGUGGGUGUGGGUGUGUAUUCUUGUUGCCGCGGCAUCGGUGCUGACUCUAGUCCCCGAUCUGCCUCGGCAAUAUUUGUGAGUUUUGUGCGCGCGUGUGCGUGUCCUUCUCCCUCCCUCUCCCGUCUCCCCGUCUUGAGCUCCGUCUGUCUGUCCGUUCUUUUAGUUGGUUUCCGCCGUCUUUGUCUGAGCACACCGCCGCCGCCUAAAACUUUUUUUGAGGGGUUGUUUUUUUUUUUCGCCCGCUGGCAAACAAGCAAAUCACAGGCAUACGCACACACUUGCGUCCUGUUCCUCCUCCUCUUCCUCUUCAGCAUCACACGCCGACACCUUCUGGUGCUACAACCACUGCGGCGCCCUCCCUCUCCCUUUCUCUUUCUCUGUCUACCUGUCUGUCUACGUGUCACUCUCUCGCCGUGUGUGCGUGUGUGUGUUGACUCUCCUCCUCCUUCGGGAGCGUUGUCUCCCUCCUGUCGUUUUUGCGGCAACACACGGCCACGUGUGUGCGCGCGUCUUUUCUUCCAAGCAACGACAACACUGUUUUGUUGUCACUCGUGUUAUUAUCAGUGUGCGCUCGUGUUCUCUUCGUACGCUACCGUUCACAGCAUCCGCGUCGUCUCGCCACCCCCUCUGCCCCUCCUUUGUUGCCGUGGACGUCCUUUCCUUUCUUAUUUCCUAUUUUCGCUGCUGUGUGCGUGUCCGCCAGUGCUUCACCGGCUCCCCUCCCUCCCUUGACCAACACACACACACACACACACACACACACACACACCAUUGGCCCUCUGUCAGCCGGUGUAUCAAGUCACACAGUAUUGCCUCGGCUUGUCCUCUUUCCCCCUCCUCAGCUCUGCGCCGCGUCGUGCGCCCGUGCGGCGAUUGUGCGAAACAAGAUUGCGACGGACCGCUUCGCCCUUACUCGAACCUCAUCCCACCCAGUCAACCCUCUUUGUGGCUGCCGCAAGAAGAGGCCACCGUUUCACAGCGAGCACCACGCACCCGCAGCCGCCAAGGGACUUCCAAUGUCCUCUCGCUCUUACUACAGUGGCAGCGGGACGACGGCGGUGGUGCCGCAUACCAUCAGCAUCUCUACCGCUGAAACCACACCGUCGCAAGCGCCGUCGUCGCACACGGAGCAGCCGUCGAGUGACCAGCAGCACGAGUCGAGCUUGCACCAAGCGACGGCUUCGUUGCCCAUGAGCUUGAACAGCACUAUGAAUAACAAGGGUGCCUCUGCGGCCGCUGCUGCUGCGGCGGCGGCGCCAUCAUCACACGGCGGUGACAGUCACAGCAUCGGAGCAGCAGCGAAAGCCAGUGGCAGUGAGCGCGCGAACUGGAAUAACCCCUCAUUCGCGGCAGCGCUGCGCAACAGCAGCGGGUCAAUCAAUGUCGACGGCUACCCUCCAGCGCAGGCCCAUCAACAGCCAUCGCAUCCCUCGCUGCUGUCGCACAGCACAGACGUGGACGAUGAAGGCGACGGCGCGCAGCACGCGGCGGUCAACGAGCCGCUCGAGUACUGUGGUGUGCGUCUCCUGCCCGGAGUGGAGCAGAUCGACUUUGACGAGGGCUACUACGUCGGCACGAUCGACGAGAACGGCGAGAUGGCCGGCUACGGCAAGGCAACGUGGCACAGCGGUGACACGUACGAAGGCGAGUGGCUGAACGGCAUGAUGCAUGGUAAGGGCACCUACACGUGGGCAGAUGGCGACUACUACCAGGGCAACUACGUUAGAGGUCGCAUGGAGGGUCGUGGCGAGAUGAAGGACGCCACGGGGCUGUACACGGGUGAAUGGGCAGACGACAUGCGGCAAGGCUACGGGCGCAUGCUGUACGCAGGCGGCAACGUGUACGAGGGUGAGUGGCUGGCAGGCAUGCGUCACGGCUCUGGCAAGCUUGUCGAGCCCGCCGCGCACGUCACGUACGAGGGCGAGUUCAACCGGAACGAAAAAGAGGGUCGUGGCGUGCAGACGAACUCUGACGGCGACGUCUACGAGGGCGAGUUCGCCCGCGGCAAACCCAACGGUCGCGGCACCUAUCUCUGGGCCGACGGUGCACGCUACAUCGGCAUGUUUAAGGACGGCGUCAAGCACGGCGACGGGUGUGAGUGGCUCGCCAACGGUGACUGGGUUGCUGGACUCUUUGUCGACGGCGAGCACGUGGACAGCCAAUCGACGCGCCACAAGGCAACCGUCCUCACACCUGACAGCAGCGACGCCGAUGGCGGAAGCGAGGACGGAGCGGGUGACGGCGGCGCUGGCGGCAGUCGGGGAAGCAUUGGUCUCUCCGAAUCGACGGCGGCCGCCGUACUCGCCCCUCUGGACGCUGAGAAGCUGCGCCGCAUUGCUGAUCAGGUUCACGCCCCGUCCUUCUCGAUGAACGUGUCGGCAGCAGCCAUGAGGAGCCUCAGGAGCUCGUUGCGCAAGAACAGCUCCUCGCACUACCAAGACUUCAGCGGCCCAGGCGGUGUGACUAUCGAGGAGGCAUCGUCGCCGUUCUUGCGUUCUCUGGCGGCUCCGCAGAUGCUGCUGGACGACAGCGACCUCGAAGGCUGGACGCCGCUCAAGACGAUCGGCAAGGGUAGCUUCGGUGCCGUGUACACGGCCCUCCUGCGCAACGGCCGCACGGUGUGCUGCAAGGUGAUCGAGCUUGGCACUGUGGAGAGCGAGGAAGAGAUGGAGAAGUUACGCAACGAGAUUGCGCUGAUGAGGCGGCUGCGGCACCCGAACUGCGUCCAGUACUACGGUAGUCUGGAGGACAAGGUGCAGAACACGCUAAACAUCUUCAUGGAGUACGUCAGCGGGGGCACGCUCACGAGCUUCGUGGCCAAGUUCAAGAGCAUUCCGCUGGAGACGCUGCGGCAGUGGGUAUACCAGAUGGUUUGCGGCGUGAAAUACCUGCAUGAGUGCGGCAUCGUGCACCGCGACAUCAAGGGCGACAACGUGCUCGUCUCCGUCGACGGCAUUGUGAAGCUGGCGGACUUCGGCUGUAGCAAGGCGAUCGACGAUGUCUGCAGCGCCACGCACGGUUGCUCGACGAUGGUCGGCACGCCGUACUGGAUGGCCCCGGAGGUGAUCAAGUGCGAGGCUGGCGGGUACGGCGUAAAGAGCGACAUCUGGUCCAUUGGCUGCACGAUUGUGGAGAUGUUGACGGGCAAGCCGCCAUGGCCGGAGUGCAACUCGAUGUGGGCCGCCGUGUACAAGAUCGCGAACUCUACCGGGCUGCCGACGGAGAUACCGGCCGACAUAGACCCGGAGCUGAUGGAUCUGCUGCAGAGGUGCUUUGAGCGCAAUCCGAAGCUGCGCCCGACAGCCGCAGACAUGCUGAGCCACCCGUUCUUGGCCAAGGUGACCGAGGGAGUCGCGUCGCCGCUCGAGAAGAGCGGGCGCAAGUGAGGGGGUGCGCACGAUCAUCAUCAUCUCUGCCCGCACCCCCUCCCUCUCUCCCUCUCUCUCACAGCCCACCCACUCCGCCUCUCGAACCGUUGCCUUGUCGUCGUUGUUUCUUCCCUAUUUCAUUGUGCUCUUUUUUACGUCUGUCUGUCUGUGUUGUUGUUGGCCGGCUCGUUGGCUGGCUGGCUGCUGCUUGUGCUUGUAGCGUGAUCCUUCUCUUCCCUCUUCCCUUCUCUUCUGUGCUUCGUUUUCAGUUUGCAGCCGACUAUUUUCCUUUGUUUUUUUUUUCGAAGUUUGCGUCUGCGCAUCAGUGCCCCCCCCUCCCUCCCUCCCUCCCUGUCUCUCUUUCUUCUUGUGGCGUUCGGUGUUAUUAUUUUCGUUAAGCUCAUAACACAACGCAUCACAUUACGCGCGCGCGAUCUCUCGUUUCACGUUUCGUUAUGAUUUCCGUCUUCUCGUUACGUCUCUUCCCUGUCACCGCUUCCACAGUGCAGCCACCGUCACGGUUGCAUCACCACCACCACCACCAGCACCACCGCCGCCGCCCUCUCCCCUCCUCCCUCCGUAUGUUGCGUGCGGGCCAUCUUCCUUUUUGUGUCUUCUCUCGGCCGGCGUGGCUCCCUACUCAUCUCUUGUCUCCCUCAGCCCCACCCCCUUCCCACCGCCUCGAUCUCGACAUGCAUGCAUGCACACACGCGCGCCUGCACGCGCACCCCCCCCCUCCCCUCCUGCCCUCCUCCUCCUAUUCCCCCUUUUCCUUCCCUGUCUUCGUCUGUUUCUCGGAUCCGCCGUUGCUCGCACGCUGCUUCAUACGUGGGAGGGUCGCCUGCCGUUUUUUCGGUUGGUUUCGUUGUCCGUCUGGUCGCGUGCGCAUUGUGGGCCCCCUCUCCCUCACCACCACCACCCCUCCUCACGGCCCGGCGUGCGCGCGGGAGAAUGCGUGUCGCCCGGUGCCUGUGCGCCUGUCCGCGGCCGCGUCUUUUCCGGCCGGCGAGUCCGAUCCGCAUGGCUCCUCGCGCCCGUGUGCUCGUGCGGCUUGCGCGCCGCUGACAAUUUUUUUUUGAGGGGGCGCGAAGUGACGGAGGGGACUCGCUGGGAACGCUGCCGCUUGUCUUGCUGGCCUGUGCGCGCGAGAGGGGAAGGGAGAGAGGGGGGGAGGAGGAGGAGAGCGCGAGGGGAGAGAAGAAAGAGAACGCAAUGAUGGGCGUGCGGCUGCCGUGAUGCCGCCGCCGCCGCUGAUGAUGAUGAGCUCUUCUCGUGGUGAUGAGGAUGAUCAUGCGUUUGUGUUUUGUUUUGUUGUUGUUUCCCCUGCGUUGCGCGUAGACGGUGUCUACCACAGAAGU